RNAcentral lists this ribosomal RNA (468 nucleotides) under uncultured bacterium. RNAcentral's name for it is "partial 16S ribosomal RNA". It matches the Rfam family "Bacterial small subunit ribosomal RNA", at positions 28 to 507 of the family's 1533-position model. The record is from RNAcentral.
GACGAACGCUGGCGGCGUGCUUAACACAUGCAAGUCGAACGGAAAGGCCCUGCUUUUGUGGGUUGCUCGAGUGGCGAACGGGUGAGUAACACGUGAGUAACCUGCCCUUGACUUUGGGAUAACUUCAGGAACCUGGGGCUAAUACCGGAUAGGAGCUCCUGCUGCAUGGUGGGGGUUGGAAAGUUUCGGCGGUUGGGGAUGGACUCGCGGCUUAUCAGCUUGUUGGUGGGGUAGUGGCUUACCAAGGCUUUGACGGGUAGCCGGCCUGAGAGGGUGACCGGCCACAUUGGGACUGAGAUACGGCCCAGACUCCUACGGGAGGCAGCAGUGGGGAAUAUUGCACAAUGGGCGGAAGCCUGAUGCAGCAACGCCGCGUGCGGGAUGACGGCCUUCGGGUUGUAAACCGCUUUCGCCUGUGACGAAGCGUGAGUGACGGUAAUGGGUAAAGAAGCACCGGCUAACUACGUG